GGUUAAGCGACUAAGCGUACACGGUGGAUGCCCUGGCAGUCAGAGGCGAUGAAGGACGUGCUAAUCUGCGAAAAGCGUCGGUAAGGUGAUAUGAACCGUUAUAACCGGCGAUGUCCGAAUGGGGAAACCCAGUGCAAUUCGUUGCACUAUCGUUAACUGAAUACAUAGGUUAACGAGGCGAACCGGGGGAACUGAAACAUCUAAGUACCCCGAGGAAAAGAAAUCAACCGAGAUUCCCCCAGUAGCGGCGAGCGAACGGGGAGCAGCCCAGAGUCUGAAUCAGCUUGUGUGUUAGUGGAACGGUCUGGAAAGUCCGACGGUACAGGGUGAUAGUCCCGUACACCAAAAUGCACAGGUUGUGAACUCGAAGAGUAGGGCGGGACACGUGGUAUCCUGUCUGAAUAUGGGGGGACCAUCCUCCAAGGCUAAAUACUCCUGACUGACCGAUAGUGAACCAGUACCGUGAGGGAAAGGCGAAAAGAACCCCGGCGAGGGGAGUGAAAAAGAACCUGAAACCGUGUACGUACAAGCAGUGGGAGCACCUUCGGGUGUGACUGCGUACCUUUUGUAUAAUGGGUCAGCGACUUAUAUUCUGUAGCAAGGUUAACCGUAUAGGGGAGCCGCAGGGAAACCGAGUCUUAACUGGGCGUUAAGUUGCAGGGUAUAGACCCGAAACCCGGUGAUCUAGCCAUGGGCAGGUUGAAGGUUGGGUAACACUAACUGGAGGACCGAACCGACUAAUGUUGAAAAAUUAGCGGAUGACUUGUGGCUGGGGGUGAAAGGCCAAUCAAACCGGGAGAUAGCUGGUUCUCCCCGAAAGCUAUUUAGGUAGCGCCUCGUGAAUUCAUCUUCGGGGGUAGAGCACUGUUUCGGCUAGGGGGUCAUCCCGACUUACCAACCCGAUGCAAACUACGAAUACCGAAGAAUGUUAUCACGGGAGACACACGGCGGGUGCUAACGUCCGUCGUGAAGAGGGAAACAACCCAGACCGCCAGCUAAGGUCCCAAAGUCAUGGUUAAGUGGGAAACGAUGUGGGAAGGCACAGACAGCCAGGAUGUUGGCUUAGAAGCAGCCAUCAUUUAAAGAAAGCGUAAUAGCUCACUGGUCGAGUCGGCCUGCGCGGAAGAUGUAACGGGGCUAAACCAUGCACCGAAGCUGCGGCAGCGACACUAUGUGUUGUUGGGUAGGGGAGCGUUCUGUAAGCCUGCGAAGGUGUGCUGUGAGGCAUGCUGGAGGUAUCAGAAGUGCGAAUGCUGACAUAAGUAACGAUAAAGCGGGUGAAAAGCCCGCUCGCCGGAAGACCAAGGGUUCCUGUCCAACGUUAAUCGGGGCAGGGUGAGUCGACCCCUAAGGCGAGGCCGAAAGGCGUAGUCGAUGGGAAACAGGUUAAUAUUCCUGUACUUGGUGUUACUGCGAAGGGGGGACGGAGAAGGCUAUGUUAGCCGGGCGACGGUUGUCCCGGUUUAAGCAUGUAGGCUGAUUAUCCAGGCAAAUCCGGAUAAUCAAGGCUGAGGUGUGAUGACGAGGCACUACGGUGCUGAAGUAACAAAUGCCCUGCUUCCAGGAAAAGCCUCUAAGCAUCAGGUAACAUCAAAUCGUACCCCAAACCGACACAGGUGGUCAGGUAGAGAAUACCAAGGCGCUUGAGAGAACUCGGGUGAAGGAACUAGGCAAAAUGGUGCCGUAACUUCGGGAGAAGGCACGCUGGUGUGUAGGUGAAGCCCCUGCGGGUGGAGCUGAGACCAGUCGAAGAUACCAGCUGGCUGCAACUGUUUAUUAAAAACACAGCACUGUGCAAACACGAAAGUGGACGUAUACGGUGUGACGCCUGCCCGGUGCCGGAAGGUUAAUUGAUGGGGUUAUCCGUAAGGAGAAGCUCUUGAUCGAAGCCCCGGUAAACGGCGGCCGUAACUAUAACGGUCCUAAGGUAGCGAAAUUCCUUGUCGGGUAAGUUCCGACCUGCACGAAUGGCGUAAUGAUGGCCAGGCUGUCUCCACCCGAGACUCAGUGAAAUUGAACUCGCUGUGAAGAUGCAGUGUACCCGCGGCAAGACGGAAAGACCCCGUGAACCUUUACUAUAGCUUGACACUGAACAUUGAGCCUUGAUGUGUAGGAUAGGUGGGAGGCUUUGAAGCGUGGACGCCAGUCUGCGUGGAGCCAACCUUGAAAUACCACCCUUUAAUGUUUGAUGUUCUAACGUUGGCCCCUUACCGGGGUUGCGGACAGUGUCUGGUGGGUAGUUUGACUGGGGCGGUCUCCUCCUAAAGCGUAACGGAGGAGCACGAAGGUUAGCUAAUCCUGGUCGGACAUCAGGAGGUUAGUGCAAUGGCAUAAGCUAGCUUGACUGCGAGCGUGACGGCGCGAGCAGGUGCGAAAGCAGGUCAUAGUGAUCCGGUGGUUCUGAAUGGAAGGGCCAUCGCUCAACGGAUAAAAGGUACUCCGGGGAUAACAGGCUGAUACCGCCCAAGAGUUCAUAUCGACGGCGGUGUUUGGCACCUCGAUGUCGGCUCAUCACAUCCUGGGGCUGAAGUAGGUCCCAAGGGUAUGGCUGUUCGCCAUUUAAAGUGGUACGCGAGCUGGGUUUAGAACGUCGUGAGACAGUUCGGUCCCUAUCUGCCGUGGGCGCUGGAGAAUUGAGGGGGGCUGCUCCUAGUACGAGAGGACCGGAGUGGACGCAUCACUGGUGUUCGGGUUGUCAUGCCAAUGGCACUGCCCGGUAGCUAAAUGCGGAAGAGAUAAGUGCUGAAAGCAUCUAAGCACGAAACUUGCCCCGAGAUGAGUUCUCCCUGAGACUUUAAGUCUCCUGAAGGAACGUUGAAGACGACGACGUUGAUAGGCCGGGUGUGUAAGCGCAGCGAUGCGUUGAGCUAACCGGUACUAAUGAACCGUGAGGCUUAACCUU
Molecule: ribosomal RNA, 2902 nt
Filed under: Klebsiella pneumoniae
Lineage: Bacteria; Pseudomonadati; Pseudomonadota; Gammaproteobacteria; Enterobacterales; Enterobacteriaceae
Description: 23S ribosomal RNA
Rfam family: Bacterial large subunit ribosomal RNA
Source: RNAcentral